This is a non-coding RNA of Arvicanthis niloticus (Nile rat), 623 nucleotides long. The record is from RefSeq and is a predicted model, not a curated record. Lineage: Eukaryota; Metazoa; Chordata; Mammalia; Rodentia; Muridae.
AAAGUUGUGGUGAUUGAAUGAAUCGUUCGGCACAUUUUCAAUGGUCAUGACUCAAUCACAAUGUCUUUACAGUGACCCGGAGUGCCAAAGACAGGCCAUUUAACUACACAUGUCAGUGAGAUUUCCCAUGUGCUUCUGUGAAACAUCCGUCUUCUCUAAAUGGCCUAUGUAAAGCCCAGUGGGAUUUCCAAGGCAAUGUACAGACCUCCCCAGGCCCAGCCCGAGCCUUCUCCCCAGUUUUGAAAGAUUCUAACUUUCAUUGCUUUCCUGAGGACAACACGAGAGCUCUUCCUCACCCCGGGGAGGAGACAACUCGAAGGCACAGUGAGCUGAACUACUCAACAAGAGUCUGGGUUUUCAAGAUGCUGUGUGUUCCCCAGGCUCCAAUACAGCAUUCAUUCCUGGCCCUCGAAUCUGUGUCCACUAAGGAAAACUCUUGGGGUGGGAGAGAUGUCUUCACACUGGCUGCUCUUGCAGAGGACUGGGGUUUUCAUUCCUAGCACCCACGCGACAGCUUCCCAACAGUCUGUCACUAGUUCUAGAGCACCAGAUGCCCACUUCUCUCCUCUUUAGGCAACAGGCUUGCACGUGGUUCACAUCCAAACAAGCAGGCAAAACACUCA